Molecule: long non-coding RNA, 252 nt
Filed under: Mytilus galloprovincialis (Mediterranean mussel)
Lineage: Eukaryota; Metazoa; Mollusca; Bivalvia; Mytilida; Mytilidae
Source: RNAcentral
GUCUAUAAGCAGUUGAAUUAAUUUCAAGUUUGAAGCGGUGCAAAUUUUUUAAUUCAAUUUGACUUUUAUCAAAAAAGGGAAAGAAUGAAUAAUGGUGGUCUGAGGCCAGAAUUGUUUUCCUUAGGUUAAAUGGGUAGUUGAUUGUUAUGCGCAUUUUAUCGUUCAUUAAAACGUUUUUAUGAUUCAUUUAAGGUGAUUCUAAUUUCUAUGCGAGGAACCAAAAAACGGAGACGCCAGCAAAUUAUUAAGAAC